Molecule: ribosomal RNA, 423 nt
Filed under: uncultured bacterium
Lineage: Bacteria
Description: bacterial SSU rRNA
Rfam family: Bacterial small subunit ribosomal RNA
Source: RNAcentral
GGGCCCGCACAAGCGGUGGAGUAUGUGGUUUAAUUCGAAGAUACGCGCAGAACCUUACCAACACUUGACAUGUUCGUCGCGACUCUAAGAGAUUAGAGUUUUCGGUUCGGCCGGACGAAACACAGGUGCUGCAUGGCUGUCGUCAGCUCGUGUCGUGAGAUGUUGGGUUAAGUCCCGCAACGAGCGCAACCCUCACUUUUAGUUGCCAUCAUUUAGUUGGGCACUCUGAAAGAACUGCCGGUGAUAAGCUGGAGGAAGGUGGGGAUGACGUCAAGUCCUCAUGGCCCUUACGUGUUGGGCUACACACGUGCUACAAUGGCAUCUACAAUAGGAAGCAAGAUGGCGACAUCAAGCAAAUCCUAAAAAGAUGCCUCAGUUCGGAUUGCACUCUGCAACUCGAGUGCAUGAAGCUGGAAUUACUAG